RNAcentral lists this small nuclear RNA (310 nucleotides) under Spermophilus dauricus (Daurian ground squirrel). RNAcentral describes it as "7SK RNA (ENSSDAG00000016833.1)". It matches the Rfam family "7SK RNA". Rfam says of the family: 7SK was discovered as an abundant small nuclear RNA in the mid-70s but a possible function has only recently been suggested. Two independent studies have found that 7SK RNA binds the CDK9/cyclin T complex (known as elongation factor P-TEFb). The record is from RNAcentral. Lineage: Eukaryota; Metazoa; Chordata; Mammalia; Rodentia; Sciuridae.
GGAUGUGAGGGCGAUCUGGCUGCGACAUCUGUCACCCCAUUGAUCGCCAGGGUUGAUUCGGCUGAUCUGGCUGGCUAGGCGGGUGUCCCCUUCCUCCCUCACCGCUCCAUGUGCGUCCCUCCCGAAGCUGCGCGCUCGGUGGAAGAGGACGACCUUCCCCCAUAGAGGAGGACCAGUCUUUGGUCAAGGGUAUACGAGUAGCUGGGCUCCCCUGCUAGAACCUCCAAACAAGCUCUCAAUAUCAUAUAAUUGUGCUUAUAAAUUGCACUUAGAAACUAGGUACUUUGAAACCAUAUCCCUUAUAUGGUUU